UGCUUCUCCUGGGGUCUUCCUCUACAUUUCAACCCAGACAGGCCUGGGUCGAAAUGUAGAGGAAGACCCCAGGAGGAGCA
RNAcentral lists this microRNA precursor (80 nucleotides) under Pongo abelii (Sumatran orangutan). RNAcentral's name for it is "miRNA". The record is from RNAcentral. Lineage: Eukaryota; Metazoa; Chordata; Mammalia; Primates; Hominidae.